Molecule: ribosomal RNA, 91 nt
Filed under: uncultured bacterium
Lineage: Bacteria
Description: partial 16S ribosomal RNA
Rfam family: Bacterial small subunit ribosomal RNA
Source: RNAcentral
AGCCGGUAAUACCCGAAGUCAGUAGUCCAACCUCGUGAGGACGCUGCCGAAGGUAGGAUUGGCGACUGGGGUGAAGUCGUAACAAGGUAAC